Molecule: long non-coding RNA, 528 nt
Organism: Sinocyclocheilus anshuiensis
Lineage: Eukaryota; Metazoa; Chordata; Actinopteri; Cypriniformes; Cyprinidae
Exons: 3
Source: RefSeq, a predicted model, not a curated record
AUCAUUUUGAAUAGUUUCAGAAGAAAAUGGAUGCAGUCUUGGCAGUCGGCGAGUGUUUCCACUGCUUUCUCUAAACCUUUUUCCUCCUCUGCUCGCCCUCCCCGCAGGGAAAACGGUCAAAACAAACAGCAAAUAGUUGGUGUUGAGAGACUUGGGCACUUGGAAGGCCACAUUCCAGCAUAAGUGGAAAAAAUUAGAGUCCCUGCCGGAGUGCUGCAGCUCCCGGAAGCUUAAUUUGGGAUAGCUACUGAGAGCCGUAGGAUUUCGAGCUGGCGAGCAACAUUGUCAGCGAGUUUUCUUUGGAAUGCCCCCAUGUUCUGACCCGAAACCCCAGCAGCCCACCUGAACAGCAGCUGUGCCAGUUUUCCAGAUAUACAGAUGGGUUUUUAACUCGAGUAACCCACAAGAAGAAUGAAAUGAACAACGUAAAGAAAUGGUGCUGGUUCUCUACAUCUAACUAAUACAUCUAACCAAAAUUUCCACUGAUUUCAGAACCAAACGAUGACAUAACCUGCCCACAAAUAAACA